RNAcentral lists this long non-coding RNA (301 nucleotides) under Monodelphis domestica (gray short-tailed opossum). RNAcentral's name for it is "lncRNA (ENSMODG00000029140.2)". Lineage: Eukaryota; Metazoa; Chordata; Mammalia; Didelphimorphia; Didelphidae. The record is from RNAcentral.
AAGGAAGGAAGGAAGGAAGGAAGGAAGGAAAGAAGGAAGAAAAAGAAAAAGAAAAAGAAAGAAAGAAAGAAAGAAAGAAAGAAAGAAAGAAAGAAAGAAAGAAAGAAAGAAAGAAAGAAAGAAAGAAAGAAAGAAAGAAAGAAAGAAAGAAAGAAAGAAAGAAAGAAAGAAAGAAAGAAAGAAAGGAAGGAAGAAAGAAAGAAAGAAAGAAAGAAAGAAAGAAAGAAAGAAAGAAAGAAAGAAAGAAAGAAAGAAAGAAAGAAAGAAUUAAGGAAAGAAAGAAAGGAAGGAAGGAAGGGAG